RNAcentral lists this ribosomal RNA (201 nucleotides) under uncultured bacterium. Its description in RNAcentral is "partial 16S ribosomal RNA". It matches the Rfam family "Bacterial small subunit ribosomal RNA", at positions 1300 to 1500 of the family's 1533-position model. The record is from RNAcentral.
GCAGGCUGCAACCCGCCUGUAUGAAGUUGGAAUCGCUAGUAAUCGCGGAUCAGCAUGCCGCGGUGAAUACGUUCCCGGGCCUUGUACACACCGCCCGUCACACCAUGAGAGUCGGGAACACCCGAAGUCCGUAGCCUAACCGCAAGGGGGGCGCGGCCGAAGGUGGGUUCGAUAAUUGGGGUGAAGUCGUAACAAGGUAGC